Molecule: transfer RNA, 62 nt
Filed under: Macrocheles nataliae
Lineage: Eukaryota; Metazoa; Arthropoda; Arachnida; Mesostigmata; Macrochelidae
Description: tRNA-Phe
Source: RNAcentral
AUUCUAAUAGUUUAUAAAAAAUAUAACAUUGAAAAUGUUAAGAAAAAAAAAUUUUUAGAAUA